UCCUUAGAUGUUCUGGGCUGCACGCGCGCUACACUGAAGCUAUCAACACGUUUUCCCUCCCUGAGAAGGGCGGGUAACCUUUUGAAUCAGCUUCGUGGUAGGGAUCGGGGCUUGCAAUUGUUCCCCGUGAACCAGGAAUUCCUAGUAGACGCGAGUCAUAAGCUCGCAUCGAUUAAGUCCCUGCCCUUUGUACACACCGCCCGUCGCUACUACCGAUUGAACGUUUUAGUGAGGCAUUUGGACCGACGCAUCUCAGUUUAACCGCUGGUUUGUGUUGGAAAGACUUCCAAACUUGAGCGUUUAGAGGAAGUAAAAGUCGUAACA
Molecule: ribosomal RNA, 324 nt
Filed under: uncultured eukaryote
Lineage: Eukaryota
Description: partial 18S ribosomal RNA
Rfam family: Eukaryotic small subunit ribosomal RNA
Source: RNAcentral